AAUGUUGACAUGUCGAUAUAACUGAAGGAGGGAUUGCUUGUUGUAUUAUUUUCUGCGUCCCUAUGACAGCUUUUAUAUAAUAUGAGGACGAGUCGAUAUAAUUUAAGUUGACAAAAGGCGUUGUUUUAAAAGUUUGUAUAAUAUCUGUGUGGAUCACUGGAUGUCGACAUGACUUAUGAAGACAUGGGUAUAACAUAUAGACCGACGACAAGGGCGUGUUUUCCACGACGUUGUCAAACGAGUAUUCCGUAGCAGCGGACACAUUUAAUCUGUCACGUGACCAAGUGUGGAAGCUCUCAUUGGACAGCAUUGAUCAUUUGUUCAGUGACGAUGAGGUCAAACGGAAGUUACGUCACAAGUGGGGACAGUUAAAAGACCACGUGUUUGCUGAUAAACAUGUGUCUCGGUUUAUAUGAAACUUCUUCGUCAGUUAUCCUGUUAAAGAUAAUAAAUGAUAUUAAUGUU
Long non-coding RNA from Dreissena polymorpha, 465 nucleotides. RefSeq lists it as uncharacterized. Lineage: Eukaryota; Metazoa; Mollusca; Bivalvia; Myida; Dreissenidae. The record is from RefSeq and is a predicted model, not a curated record. The transcript has 2 exons.